CCUAAAAAGUCAUAGCAAACCCAGUAGCUACUUGUACUAAAAAGCAAGUAAGCGUAAUUCCCCCUAAACAAUAAAAUAUAUUGACGUGGGGAGGAACAUAUUUACUAGUUAUAUCAUCCGCAAUUGCUUGAAUCUCGAGACGUUNNNNNNNNNNGUUCUAGCACCAUGCCAAAUGUAUAAAAUAUAUUGACGUGGGGAGGUACAUAUUUACUAGUUAUAUCAUCUGCAAUUGCUUGAAUCUCGAGACGUUCUUCGAACCAAUCAUAUACUUUAUUGAGAUAGGCGGAACUCCCCCUCUGAGAACUGUAUAUGAGACUUUCAUCUCGUACAGCUCAAGCAAAAACACCCAAAUACUAGUUGCAACAGAUAUGAAUAGAAAGUUUGAAUUAUUAAGUUCUGAUCCCAUCUUCUCUGGAAAAUCCGAAAGCUCUUCUUUGUGGCGAUAAUACCAAAAUAUCAAGUUGGCGCAGUCGUCUUUAUCUUUAUUUUGAUACUU
Molecule: long non-coding RNA, 496 nt
Filed under: Nicotiana benthamiana
Lineage: Eukaryota; Viridiplantae; Streptophyta; Magnoliopsida; Solanales; Solanaceae
Description: long non-coding RNA (NBEN_LNC040505)
Source: RNAcentral